This 436-nucleotide ribosomal RNA is filed under the name Globigerinoides sacculifer. Its description in RNAcentral is "bacterial SSU rRNA". It matches the Rfam family "Eukaryotic small subunit ribosomal RNA", at positions 1223 to 1470 of the family's 1831-position model. Lineage: Eukaryota; Foraminifera; Rotaliida; Globigerinidae. The record is from RNAcentral.
UGACAGACAGUUAACCAAAACGCAGCAGCUAGUUUAACAAAACUAACAGCUCUUUCAAGAUUAUGUGGUAGGUGGUGCAUGGCCGUUCUUAGUUCGUGAAGUGAUUCGUUCGCCCAAUCGCAUUUCCAAACAACUAACAACUCAGAAUGCUGGGCAAUAGGACGUUUAAAGUGGCUCCUUACACCUUACAAAGGAAUGGCUGAUGAGAAACAACUCGAUCCGCUCAGCGUUCUAUUGGAAUGCAACGGACGUGAUUGCAAGCUUUUGUUUUGAGUUGCGGUUUUACUGAAAGACUCUACAAUCCGCAAACUUCAAUGAUCUGAAGUAGAAAACCUACAUGCUACAGUGAGAUAUUGUGGAUAAACUUAAGCGACCGCUCCAACAUUGUGUUUUUUUAAAACUGAUGAAGGUUGCGGCAAUAACAGGUCUGUGAUGC